UCUCUGGCAUCUUGAAUUUAGGGCCCUUCAGUUUCGCAUCUGGACCUUCAAUAUUCACAUCUGGAACAUCAACGUCCACCUUGGGUCCUGAGACGUCAAGGUCAGCCUUGGGCAGGUUCACAUCCACAUCUGGGCCCUCUCCUUUGAAGCCAGGCAUGCUGAACUUGGGCAUUUUCACCUUGGGCAUCUUCAGCUUCCCUUCUGGACCUUCAAGGCUCACAUCUGGGACUUCAACAUCCACCUUGGGUCCUGAGACAACAACAUCAGCCUUGGGCAAGUUCACAUCCACUUCUGGGCCCUCUGCUUUGAAGCCAGGCAUGCUGAACUUGGGCAUUUUCAUCUUGGGCAUCUUCAGGUGCCAGUCUGGGCCUUGAACCUCCACAUCUGGGGCAUCAAUGUCCAUUUUGGGUCCUUUGAUUUCAACAUCUGGCACUUUCAUUUCACC
Molecule: long non-coding RNA, 445 nt
Filed under: Homo sapiens (human)
Lineage: Eukaryota; Metazoa; Chordata; Mammalia; Primates; Hominidae
Description: HSALNT0176164
Source: RNAcentral